AACGAACGCUGGCGGCAGGCCUAACACAUGCAAGUCGAACGGCCCGCAAGGGGAGUGGCAGACGGGUGAGUAACACGUGGGAAUCUUCCCUAUAGUACGGAAUAGCCCAGGGAAACUUGGUGUAAUACCGUAUACGCCCGAAAGGGGAAAGAAUUUCGCUAUAGGAUGGGGCCGCGUAGGAUUAGGUGGUUGGUGAGGUAAUGGCUCACCAAGGCGACGAUCCUUAGCUGGUUGGAGAGAACGACCAGCCACACUGGGACUGAGACACGGCCCAGACUCCGACGGGACGCAGCAGUGUGGAAUAUUGGACAAUGGGCGCAAGCCUGGUCCAGCCGUGCCGCGUGAGUGAUGAAGGCCGUAGGGUUGUAAAGCUCUUUUGGCGGAGACGAUAGUGACGGUACCCGGAGAAGAAGUCCCGGCUAACUUCGUG
Molecule: ribosomal RNA, 430 nt
Filed under: uncultured bacterium
Lineage: Bacteria
Description: partial 16S ribosomal RNA
Rfam family: Bacterial small subunit ribosomal RNA
Source: RNAcentral